AUUGAACGCUGGCGGCAUGCCUUACACAUGCAAGUCGAACGGCAGCACGGGGGCAACCCUGGUGGCGAGUGGCGAACGGGUGAGUAACAUAUCGGAACGUGCCCUGGAGUGGGGGAGUAACUAGUCGAAAGACUAGCUAAUACCGCAUACGAUCUACGGAUGAAAGUGGGGGAUCGCAAGACCUCAUGCUCGUGGAGCGGCCGAUAUCUGAUUAGCUAGUUGGUGGGGUAAAGGCCUACCAAGGCAUCGAUCAGUAGCUGGUCUGAGAGGACGACCAGCCACACUGGGACUGAGACACGGCCCAGACUCCUACGGGAGGCAGCAGUGGGGAAUUUUGGACAAUGGGCGCAAGCCUGAUCCAGCAAUGCCGCGUGAGUGAAGAAGGCCUUCGGUUGUAAGU
Molecule: ribosomal RNA, 400 nt
Filed under: uncultured bacterium
Lineage: Bacteria
Description: bacterial SSU rRNA
Rfam family: Bacterial small subunit ribosomal RNA
Source: RNAcentral